CCUACGGGGGGCAGCAGUGGGGGAUAUUGCACAAUGGGGGAAACCCUGAUGCAGCGACGCCGCGUGGUCGAAGAAGUAUUUCGGUGUGUAAAGCUCUAUCAGCAGGGACGAAGAAAUGACGGUACCUGAGUAAGAAGCACCGGCUAAAUACGUGCCAGCAGCCGCGGUAAUACGUGUGGUGCAAGCGUGAUCCGGAUUUACUGGGGGUAAAGGGAGCGCAGGGGGCACGGCAAGCCUGAUGUGAAAGCCAGCGGCCCAACCGCGGGACUGCAUUGGGAACUGCCGGGCUUGAGUGCCGGAGAGGUAGGGGGAAUUCCUAGUGUAGCGGUGAAAUGCGUAGAUAUUAGGAGGAACACCAGUGGCGAAGGCGGCCUACUGGACGGUGACUGACGCUGAGGCUCGAAAGCGUGGGGAGCAAACAGGAUUAGAUACCCGUGUAGUC
RNAcentral lists this ribosomal RNA (442 nucleotides) under uncultured bacterium. RNAcentral describes it as "partial 16S ribosomal RNA". It matches the Rfam family "Bacterial small subunit ribosomal RNA", at positions 338 to 795 of the family's 1533-position model. The record is from RNAcentral.